UGUCUUGUGGGUGCGUCUGGUAUCCUGUAUUGACUACCAAUGCAACGGUAUUCGGUUUUCUUGAUACGUACAUUCGCCCGGUGCCUGUUAGGGUGUUGGGUGGACAACAGGUUGGCCACGUGCUCCAAGCAUGCCUUGCAAUGUUGUGUGGCUGCCAUGGCGCAUGGGGUUAUGCCCGUUCUUUUGGAUGCUGAUCGUUGUGUGUGUUGAUGAGGGGUCUUGACCUCUACUCGUCUGCUUUACGCACUUAUCCCUUGACACGAAUGACCGCCGCACUUGUUUUGGUUGAAGAGCUACACAGCUCUUUGAGGCUCCAUGCAGGUGUCGGCGUCGUGAAGGAAUGC
Molecule: unclassified non-coding RNA, 344 nt
Filed under: Harpullia rhyticarpa
Lineage: Eukaryota; Viridiplantae; Streptophyta; Magnoliopsida; Sapindales; Sapindaceae
Description: partial external transcribed spacer
Source: RNAcentral